Molecule: ribosomal RNA, 464 nt
Filed under: Staphylococcus xylosus
Lineage: Bacteria; Bacillati; Bacillota; Bacilli; Caryophanales; Staphylococcaceae
Description: bacterial SSU rRNA
Rfam family: Bacterial small subunit ribosomal RNA
Source: RNAcentral
CAUGCAAGUCGAGCGAACAGAUAAGGAGCUUGCUCCUUUGAAGUUAGCGGCGGACGGGUGAGUAACACGUGGGUAACCUACCUAUAAGACUGGGAUAACUUCGGGAAACCGGAGCUAAUACCGGAUAACAUUUAGAACCGCAUGGUUCUAAAGUGAAAGAUGGUUUUGCUAUCACUUAUAGAUGGACCCGCGCCGUAUUAGCUAGUUGGUAAGGUAACGGCUUACCAAGGCGACGAUACGUAGCCGACCUGAGAGGGUGAUCGGCCACACUGGAACUGAGACACGGUCCAGACUCCUACGGGAGGCAGCAGUAGGGAAUCUUCCGCAAUGGGCGAAAGCCUGACGGAGCAACGCCGCGUGAGUGAUGAAGGGUUUCGGCUCGUAAAACUCUGUUAUUAGGGAAGAACAAAUGUGUAAGUAACUGUGCACAUCUUGACGGUACCUAAUCAGAAAGCCACGGCUAA